Molecule: long non-coding RNA, 1428 nt
Organism: Mytilus californianus (California mussel)
Lineage: Eukaryota; Metazoa; Mollusca; Bivalvia; Mytilida; Mytilidae
Exons: 2
Source: RefSeq, a predicted model, not a curated record
AAGGACGUAUAACUAACAUAUCUAAUAUACGUCCUUGAUCUAACCAAUAUUACAUUAGCAAAAAAAGGGAGGUGCUCCUUGUAGAGGAGAUUAGGGAUAAUACAGAAACGGCUAAACAAGUUGUAAAUACGUAUUUGAUAUCAGACUUAAGUCUAGUACAGGUAAACCUUAUUUUACACAUGUGAUCGAGACAGUUGGACGUUUGUCUUGGACUUCACUGUCAGACUGGCUUGGAAAAUGGCACAACUGCUUGAACCUUUAAGAAUACUGGAGUCUAACAAUUCUAAAUGCAUCAUUGUUAUGCUGAACAGACCUCUUUAUCCAGACCUGAAAUUGAUUAGGUUUCUAUGGAAUAAAUCAGUGUUCAAGCUUUCGGUAGAUGGUGGUACCAAUGAACUUUAUGAUAAUUUAUCGAAGAAUGACGAAUGUUAUAUCCCUGAUUUAAUUUCUGGUGACUUUGAUUCAUUGAGGCCAGGUGUUAUGGAAUUCUUUGAAAACAAAGGUGUAGAAAUAGUGUCAACACCUGACCAGAAUUAUACAGAUUUUACAAAGGCUUUACAAUUACUUGCAGAGAAGAUGAAAUUUAAAAAGAUGAAUGCAAGCUGUGUUAUUGUAUUAUGUGCUUUUGGUGGACGGCUUGAUCAGAUUUUUGCCAAUAUUGACACACUAUUUCAUUUUGAACUCUCCAUUCCUAUUUAUCUCAUGUCAGAGAGUAACCUUGCUGUGCUACUCAAAGACGGAUCAUACAAAAUAUCCGUUAAAUCUUCUUUUCGAGACGACUGGUGCGGUUUGGUACCCAUAGGAGAGCCGUGUGAAUCUGUUUCUACAACCGGUCUUAAAUGGAAUCUUAAUAAACAACGUCUUAAGUUUGGUGAAUUAAUUAGUACAUCAAACACUUAUGAGUCUGGUCAGACUGAAUCUGUUGAAAUAGAAACAGAUAAACCACUUCUAUGGACAAUGGGCUAUUCACAAUUUUAAAAGAACAACCGUAUGUAGUGGCAUGAACAUGUUCAGUUCCAAGAAAAAAGUCUAAAAGGAAGGGGGGAAAUCCCAACCUUGAAUAAAGUGUUACUUAGUUAAAAUACAUAGAAUACAAGUGCUUUCCCUUGCAAUGUACUUGAAUAGCAGGACUUUGUUUUUCAUUUCCUGAUUAAAAUAAGUCAAGUGUUACACUGACUGGUUGAAUCAUACAUGUGCAAUAUAUAAUAUUUGGAAGAUAUUUUUUUUAUGUAUGAAGAAGAUUUUUAUGUCCAUUACAUGGGCUCACACGGAUCAUAUUACGAUAUUAGACAUUAUAUUCAAAAAUCAAUAAUCAGGUAAAGUUACUACAAAGAAAAAAAAGCAGUUUGAACAUGUAUGAACUCCUUAUAUAUAUAUAUAUAAAACACAAAAAAACAGUUAAGUUGAGAAUAAAAUAUUAGCAUCAUU